GUCAUCCUUAGAAGACUUACUCCAUUAGCUGUCAGACUGCAGGGACGGCGAGGAAGCGCUCACUGGGAUAAAAUGAGAGCUGGUGAUGAUGGAACCGUCUUACAAGUUGGAGGUAAACACAGGAUUUACAGCUCUAAAGAAGCCCCCGCUUACUCAUUACCAAGACCUUGGGGGACACGAGAGAAGACAUCACGAGAUGGAGCCAGCUCUGGACUUCAGGUAACAGAAUUCAAGUUUUUCGUGGAGCAGUGUUCAUCAAGACCAAAACCCCCAGGUUCU
Molecule: long non-coding RNA, 279 nt
Organism: Ornithorhynchus anatinus (platypus)
Lineage: Eukaryota; Metazoa; Chordata; Mammalia; Monotremata; Ornithorhynchidae
Exons: 3
Source: RefSeq, a predicted model, not a curated record